RNAcentral lists this ribosomal RNA (490 nucleotides) under uncultured bacterium. Its description in RNAcentral is "partial 16S ribosomal RNA". It matches the Rfam family "Bacterial small subunit ribosomal RNA", at positions 29 to 505 of the family's 1533-position model. The record is from RNAcentral.
AGUGAACGCUGGCGGUAGGCCUAACACAUGCAAGUCGAACGGCAGCACAGUAAGAGCUUGCUCUUACGGGUGGCGAGUGGCGGACGGGUGAGGAAUACAUCGGAAUCUACUUUUUCGUGGGGGAUAACGUAGGGAAACUUACGCUAAUACCGCAUACGACCUACGGGUGAAAGCAGGGGAUCUUCGGACCUUGCGCGAUUGGAUGAGCCGAUGUCGGAUUAGCUAGUUGGCGGGGUAAAGGCCCACCAAGGCGACGAUCCGUAGCUGGUCUGAGAGGAUGAUCAGCCACACUGGAACUGAGACACGGUCCAGACUCCUACGGGAGGCAGCAGUGGGGAAUAUUGGACAAUGGGCGCAAGCCUGAUCCAGCCAUACCGCGUGGGUGAAGAAGGCCUUCGGGUUGUAAAGCCCUUUUGUUGGGAAAGAAAAGCAGCAGGUUAAUACCCCGCUGUUCUGACGGUACCCAAAGAAUAAGCACCGGCUAACUUCG